AAUAGUUUUUUAAAUGAAAACUGGAAUGAAUGAAGUGAUGAAAUUUAAACUGUCUUAAAUUAAAAAAUUGAAUUUAUUAUUUAAGUAAAAAAACUUAGAUGAUAAUAUGGGACGAGAAGACCCUAUAGAAUUUUAUAUAAAUUUUUAAUUGGAUAUAAUUUAGUAAUAUUGUUAUAAUAAAUUUAUAUUUUAUUGGGAGGAUAUUUAAAUUAAUAAAACUUUAAAUUAAUAAUUCCAUAGAUUUAUGAUUGUAGAUGAAUGGUUAUUAUUGACUUAAUUAGAAUUAAUUACCUUAGGGAUAACAGCGUAAUAUCUUUAGAGAGUUCAUAUUAAUAAGGAUGAUUGC
RNAcentral lists this ribosomal RNA (346 nucleotides) under Pheidole tristicula. RNAcentral's name for it is "partial 16S large subunit ribosomal RNA". The record is from RNAcentral. Lineage: Eukaryota; Metazoa; Arthropoda; Insecta; Hymenoptera; Formicidae.